RNAcentral lists this ribosomal RNA (844 nucleotides) under uncultured Pseudomonadota bacterium. RNAcentral's name for it is "bacterial SSU rRNA". It matches the Rfam family "Bacterial small subunit ribosomal RNA", at positions 62 to 887 of the family's 1533-position model. The record is from RNAcentral. Lineage: Bacteria; Pseudomonadati; Pseudomonadota.
UCGAACGCGAAAAUCCCGCAAGGGAUGAGUAGAGUGGCAAACGGGUGAGUAACACGUGGGUGACCUGCCUUCGAGUGGGGGAUAACGUCCCGAAAGGGACGCUAAUACCGCAUAACAUCCUGCCUUUUAAGAGGUGGAGAUCAAAGCUGGGGACCGCAAGGCCUGGCGCUGGAAGAGGGGCCCGCGUCUGAUUAGCUAGCUGGUGAGGUAACGGCUCACCAAGGCAACGAUCAGUAUCCGGCCUGAGAGGGCGGACGGACACACUGGGACUGAGACACGGCCCAGACUCCUACGGGAGGCAGCAGUGGGGAAUUGUUCGCAAUGGGCGCAAGCCUGACGACGCAACGCCGCGUGGAGGAUGAAGACCUUCGGGUCGUAAACUCCUUUCGAUCGAGACGAAUGGCCCCGGGGUAAAUAAUCCUGGGGAGUGACGGUACCGAGAGAAGAAGCCCCGGCUAACUCCGUGCCAGCAGCCGCGGUAAUACGGGGGGGGCAAGCGUUGUUCGGAAUUACUGGGCGUAAAGGGCUCGUAGGUGGCCAACUAAGUCAGACGUGAAAUCCCUCGGCUUAACCGGGGAACUGCGUCUGAUACUGGAUGGCUUGAGUUUGGGAGAGGGAUGCGGAAUUCCAGGUGUAGCGGUGAAAUGCGUAGAUUUCUGGAGGAACACCGGUGGCGAAGGCGGCAUCCUGGACCAACACUGACACUGAGGAGCGAAAGCCAGGGGAGCAAACGGGAUUAGAUACCCCGGUAGUCCUGGCCCUAACGAUAAAGGCUGGGUGUGGCGGGUAUCGAUCCCUGCCGUGCCAAACUAACGCAUUAAGCAUUCGCCUGGGGAGUACGGUC